This 449-nucleotide ribosomal RNA is filed under the name uncultured type I methanotroph. RNAcentral describes it as "bacterial SSU rRNA". It matches the Rfam family "Bacterial small subunit ribosomal RNA", at positions 537 to 987 of the family's 1533-position model. Lineage: Bacteria; Pseudomonadati; Pseudomonadota; Gammaproteobacteria; Methylococcales; Methylococcaceae. The record is from RNAcentral.
AGCGCUGUUCGGAUCUUGGGCGUAAGGGUGCGUAGGUGGCGCCAUAAGUCAGGUGUGAAAUCUCGGGGCUCAACCCCGAAACUGCACUUGAUACUGUGGUGCUCGAGUACUGGAGAGGAGAUUGGAAUUUACGGUGUAGCAGUGAAAUGCGUAGAUAUCGUAAGGAAGACCAGUGGCGAAGGCGAAUCUCUGGACAGUUACUGACACUGAGGCACGAAGGCCAGGGGAGCAAACGGGAUUAGAUACCCCGGUAGUCCUGGCAGUAAACGGUGCGCGUUUGGUGUGGGAGGAUUCGACCCCUUCUGUGCCGGAGCUAACGCGUUAAACGCGCCGCCUGGGGAGUACGGUCGCAAGAUUAAAACUCAAAGAAAUUGACGGGGGCCCGCACAAGCGGUGGAGUAUGUGGCUUAAUUCGAUGCAACGCGAAGAACCUUACCUAGCCUUGACAU